RNAcentral lists this ribosomal RNA (456 nucleotides) under uncultured soil bacterium. RNAcentral describes it as "bacterial SSU rRNA". It matches the Rfam family "Bacterial small subunit ribosomal RNA", at positions 26 to 477 of the family's 1533-position model. The record is from RNAcentral.
AGAUUGAACGCUGGCGGCGUGCUUUACACAUGCAAGUCGAACGGUAACAGGCCGCAAGGUGCUGACGAGUGGCGAACGGGUGAGUAAUGUAUCGGAACGUGCCCAGUCGUGGGGGAUAACGCAGCGAAAGCUGCGCUAAUACCGCAUACGAUCUAUGGAUGAAAGCGGGGGACCGUAAGGCCUCGCGCGAUUGGAGCGGCCGAUAUCAGAUUAGGUAGUUGGUGGGGUAAAGGCUCACCAAGCCAACGAUCUGUAGCUGGUCUGAGAGGACGACCAGCCACACUGGGACUGAGACACGGCCCAGACUCCGUACGGGAGGCAGCAGUGGGGUAAUUUUGGACAAGUGGGCGCAACGCCUGACUCCAGCAAUGCCGCGUGCAGGAAGAAGGCCGUUCGGUUAGUAACGUGUCGUUUUGUAACGGAACGUAAACCGGUCCGUUAGGUUAACUUACCGUA